AUGCUUUGGUGGCACAAACACUAAAAUCGGAACACUGCAGAGAGGACAGGCCUGGUCCCUGGGCAAGGGUGACAUGCCAGUUCCGUGAAGUGUUCCAAGUUCCG
Molecule: small nuclear RNA, 104 nt
Organism: Euleptes europaea (tarantolino)
Lineage: Eukaryota; Metazoa; Chordata; Lepidosauria; Squamata; Sphaerodactylidae
Source: RefSeq, a predicted model, not a curated record